AUUUUUACGUUGAAGAGAAGAGUAGCAAAGUCGCUGAGGUAAGAGAACCCGGAUGGUGAGAAAGGGAACUUGGCAAGCUUGUGAAGAUGAGCUCUGAGUUUUUAUGUGGUUCACGCCAUAUGAACGGGUGCAACCGUUACAUUGCCGGGUUUCAACAGGAACCAGUGAGGUACUUUUUGUGAGAAAAGUAUAAAUGAGGGUGGUAUCGCGAAAGCAUUCGUCCCUUUG
This 228-nucleotide non-coding RNA is filed under the name Enterococcus phoeniculicola. Its description in RNAcentral is "T-box sequence". It matches the Rfam family "T-box leader". From Rfam's summary of the family: Uncharged tRNA acts as the effector for transcription antitermination of genes in the T-box leader family. Lineage: Bacteria; Bacillati; Bacillota; Bacilli; Lactobacillales; Enterococcaceae. The record is from RNAcentral.